GGGCCCGUGGCGGAACGGCAGACGCAGCGGACUUAAAAUCCGCGGGAGAGCGAUCUCCAUGUGGGUUCGACUCCCACCGGGCUCA
This 85-nucleotide transfer RNA is filed under the name Phycisphaerae bacterium. RNAcentral describes it as "tRNA-Leu". It matches the Rfam family "tRNA". From Rfam's summary of the family: Transfer RNA (tRNA) molecules are approximately 80 nucleotides in length. Their secondary structure includes four short double-helical elements and three loops (D, anti-codon, and T loops). The record is from RNAcentral. Lineage: Bacteria; Pseudomonadati; Planctomycetota; Phycisphaerae.